AGAAGAAAAAAGCAAAAGCAACAAUGGCAGCAGCAACAGCAGCUAUGGCUGCUCUUCAGAGUUCAAUGACCUCUCUCUCUCUAUCAUCCAACUCUUUCUUCGGACAACCUCUCUCUCCUAUCACUCUCUCUCCUCUCCUGGUACAUUACACUCUUUUUUCUACACCAAUUUUGUUUAUUUCAAUUCAAGUUUCAAUUUUGACUAUUCUAUUCGUUUCCUUUAGCCUAUUACUCUAAUGGGUCAUUGCAAUAUUUGCUUGGUUCCAUUAAGAAUCAAAGUUCAUGGGCUCAUGGCUAUUAGCAUUUUCAGUUUUUUUCUCUCCAAUUUUAUUUCACUGUGAAUAUGAUGAUAAUGUUGUAAAUGUUCCCUGAAAAAAGGACAGGAAAAAUUGCACUUUACUCCCUUGAGAUACAGCUUAAUUACACUUGAUAUAUAUUGUGUUGUUGUUACACUAGUCCCCUAAGGUUUAUGAGGUUUGUAAUAAUAUCAUUGGUGGUAAAUUUAAUUUUUCCGAAGGUUUAUGAUAUUUUAUACUUACACUAGUGAAUGUAUAAACAUCUAAAGGAGAAUAGUGUAAUCAUUGAAAAAUGAAGGUUAUUAAGUUAUAUUAAGCAUAAGCAACUUCAAAGGGAAGUUAGUGUAAUUUCCCAAAAUGUUAUGAUCUUUUUGUAAACCAAGUUGUGUGCCUCCAUAAGAGAAACUCCAAUGUGCUGGUUGAACAUGAUUAGUGCAUGUUACAGGAUAGGUCUUUGUUAUUAAUUUUAAUUUUAAAUUGUGACUUGAAAUUUAUGUAAGUUUACUUGAAAAUAUGUGGCUCUUUGUGCUUACUACACAGCCCUCAUUGAUGUUUCAAAUAUUAUGUAAUGUUCAGAUGUAUUUGUUUUAAUUUUCAUUUUUAGGAGUUCAUAUCUGUUGAUUUUGAUAUCACCAAAUGAUUUUUGAUUAGGCUUGUUUAUCUAUAACAAGCCUCCUGCUAUAUUAUAUGAUGGAAAAUCUAGUGAUUCUUACUAUACUAUGUUCACUUUUUCUGCUGCCUAUCUGCUUGGGUACUCUUCAAGUUAGGAGUUUUGCUCAAUGAACUUUUCAGUUGAAGCUGUUUGCAAUAUCAUACUAAAGAAACAUAUUCUAAUGGCGUGAUAUCAAAUUUUAAACUCAUAUAAUUUGUCUGAUUUAGAGCAGUUCCUUAGAUUCUUAUUAUCUCAUUUGUCCAUUAUAUUAUCUUCCACAAACAUUUGCAUUGCAUAAAAUAAUUGAUCUGGAUUUUAUUUCCAUUGAUGAGUAUUAUUAAUUCAUGUUGUUUUUGUUAUCCUUUUUAUUCUAUUUCUUAGCACCAUGUCUACAAGAGAUGAAAUGUCUUAGUUUAAAAAAUAGUAUUAGCAUUGAAGAGACCUUUUGAUAAGCCCACAGUUUCUAGUUUCUUUUAAUUCCAUUUUACUCAUCUUUUGUUGCAAAUUUAGAGAAUGCUAAACAUUUUAUUAAAAAUAGUAACUACAUUAAGGAUAAUGUUUUUACUGGUGUGGCAACUGCAUAUUCCAAUUUCGUCGUGGACAUCAAUUUUAGCCCAUAAACAUCGUCUUGUCAUCAGGGUUGUAACUAAGUUUCCUGUGGAUGUUGGUCCCAUAUGUUUAGCAGGCUAAUUUGAUAUUAUUUUAUGUUAUGAUGUGCAGAGUAAGUCCGUAGAGAAGCAAUGCCCUAUUGUAAUGAAGGUUAGUAUUCGUUUCUUGCCACUUCCACAACUAUUAUGAUUAUCAGUUUCAGGUUUUGUCAAAUUGAAAAUCAAAAUGGACAAAAAUUAAGGAUAGUGACAUGAGAGCAGACCAUGUGGUGUCCAGUGAUGUAGAACUUAAAAAAAGUCUAAUUUGAUAAGAAAUAUUUUGCUAAUAGUUACUAUUUUUAUGCAGAUUAAAUUUAUGUACAUUAUCCAUAAAUUUAAUCUGCAUUUUAUGUGCGUAGUUUUCCGAAGUUUGUGAAUCAUAUUUUGCUUUGUAUUAAAAGAACUUGUUCAAGGCAUAAGGGUAAUACCUUAGCUACUUAGACUGUUGUGCAACUUUGACUUUCUCAUUUACGAAUACUAUUUUGAACUUGACACUGAAUACUGAAUGCAUCGUAAACUCUUAUGUCCUUACAUUACAGUCAGGCAUAAAGCUUUUGAUGUUGUAAAUAAAAUUGAAAGCAAACCAAACCUCAAAACUUCUCCAAUUUAAUAAUGUAAAACAACAUAAAAAGAUAAGGCUUAUGGGUCACAAGUCACAACUUAAAUAUAUUUCUAUUUAUUGCACUAAUAACUAAUUAUCUACUCAUUCUUAAUAAUGAUUGUCUUGUGUAAUACCUUUUCUGUUUCUUCC
RNAcentral lists this long non-coding RNA (2345 nucleotides) under Lupinus angustifolius (narrow-leaved blue lupine). RNAcentral's name for it is "long non-coding RNA (LANG_LNC001719)". Lineage: Eukaryota; Viridiplantae; Streptophyta; Magnoliopsida; Fabales; Fabaceae. The record is from RNAcentral.